AGUGAACGCUGGCGGCGUGCCUAACACAUGCAAGUCGAACGAUGAUGGAGAGCUUGCUCUCCUGAUUAGUGGCGCACGGGUGAGUAUACCAUAGAUAAUGUACCUCUUAGUUCGGGAUAGCCACUGGAAACGGUGAUUAAUACCGGAUACUCCUUCUUGUCUUAAGGCGAGUCGGGAAAGUUUUUUCGCUAAGAGAUCAGUCUAUGUCCUAUCAGCUAGUUGGUGAGGUAAUGGCUCACCAAGGCUAUGACGGGUAUCUGGUUUGAGAGGAUGAUCAGACACACUGGAACUGAGACACGGUCCAGACUCCUACGGGAGGCAGCAGUGAGGAAUAUUGCACAAUGGAGGAAACUCUGAUGCAGCAACGCCGCGUGGAGGAUGACGCAUUUCGGUGUGUAAACUCCUUUUAAGAGGGAAGAUUAUGACGGUACCUCUUGAAUAAGCACCGGCUAACUCCGUGCCAGCAGCCGCAGUAA
Molecule: ribosomal RNA, 476 nt
Filed under: uncultured bacterium
Lineage: Bacteria
Description: partial 16S ribosomal RNA
Rfam family: Bacterial small subunit ribosomal RNA
Source: RNAcentral